UCAUUUCUUUUUCUUUGAUCUGUUGUUGUCUUAGGCAAACUAGCAAAGUGAAAAUAGGGGCGUUAUUACUGGGAAUAAAUCACUCAUGAAUCAUUGCCAAUCCAAAUUAUAUCGCGCGUUCUCUUGAACAAGUAAGUUUUGAGACUGGUCUGGAUUUAUUUGCGGGUUCAAGUUGGUCCAUUUUAUCAUUAAUCCGUUGAUCUUAAUAGAAGAAAAAAGUGAGACAAGAAGGUCACAAACUUGGUGUAUAAGUUUGAAGGAUCUCAUCUAACUUGUCCAAGUUUGUAGAAUUGAGAUAAUGGGAGUUAACUUAAAUUAUUGUUGAUGUUUGAUUCUAAGCCAUUCUAGCAUACUAUGAAUUAAAUGAACUGAUUGCGAACCAAGUGUCACUUUGGACAUUCAAGUUGCCAGGUUUGAGUCAAGUAAAAUCGAUAGUUGUUUGAUGUUACUUAAACAGAAGAGAUGCAGAAUUGGUGUAUCUCUGGAAAAGUUUAUCAAUAUGCAAAGUACAUUUCCAUGAACGUUUUCGUGUGAUGGGUUAAUGAGUUGAGUUCUGGAUAUUAAUCAUUGAUUUGCUUUGAUAAUAAUUACCUCAAUGAAAUUGUUCACCACGUGUUUGAUGAAAUGCACAAACCAAAGUCAAAUGAAUUUGUCUCUGAUUUUGGAUCAUUUUGAUUGCAUACCAACAUGUUUUACUUGUAGAAAUUUCUCAUUAGUUGUUAAGCGUGAAUUCUGCCAUUUUCUUUUAUUAGUGAGUAUGAAUCCGAACAACUUUUCUUUGUAUUUGUUUGUGUUGUUUGUGUACUCCAGUAAAUGUGUGGUGGUUCUAGACAAGAUAAUGGCGUAGCAUUUGUGUGGUCUUCUCUGUCAUGUUUCAUCUUACUGUUCAUGUCCUGCACAUCUUCAUUAAACUAUGUUGUGAGUGGUGAAUUGAUAUAACUGUGGUGAUUCUGCGUGAUCAACGGUGGUUGCUGGUGGUCUAUAUGCAACUCUGGUGAUGUUGUGAAUGCCUAUAGAAGUUCAUUGUUAAACGUAAUAUACAAGGUCAAAAAAUUCGUGAGGUGCUCUGAAUGGACUAAGUUGAGGAAACUCGUCAAGGACAAUGAUGAAAGAGAGACCGGAGGAGAAGGAAAUUAUAAAUGAAGAAAUUCAGAAAAAGAAAAAUCGGAAAAUUGGCUAGAGAAAGAGGCAUUGGUUAGGUUAUUGCGUUUCAGUAUUAGAUUUAGUUUAGUUUCAUUAGACAGUACACACUUGAUUUAGGAUAAUUCAUGAGGUGCCGAGAACAUUCAAUGAACAAAAUGACGUGACUAGCCCCUCAUAAGGGCCUCUAGUUUUGGAGGCUAUUUUUCAAUUAUCUUCUUCUCUCAUCCAGAUCCGAUGGUAGCCACACCUCGGAUCAAUCUUUGAAAACACUGUUGAUUCAUGGAAUUCAUCAAGCAUAUCGUCGAGUUUAGGUAUGGGGUACCUAUACUUGAUCAUGAUGUCAUUGACAGCUCGACUGUCGACACAAACUGAAAGAACCAUCCUUCUUCAGCACGAGUAGGGCCGGAACUGAAUAAGGAAUCACGCUUUUCCUUAUGGAUUACAUCGAUAAGCAGCUUUGUUGGGUAUAAAAGCACUAAAAAGCAUAUCAGUCUAAUGCUCAAUUUCUUUUUUCGCAAGAUUUGAUUCGACUUUUUCCUUGGUCAAACUUUGGUUCUUCAAGCUUUCCCACCAAAGUGAGAUAUACUUCUUCAACUUGAGAAUAACAACUUUGCAUUGCUUUUCAUUCGAGUAUGAGUGGAAAUCAAAUACUCAUUCGAUAUUGUGUAGUCAGUAAACAAAAUCGUCGGGAUUGAGGUUAUCCUCAAAUUUCGUCACCUCCACUUUGACUUUGAGGUCAUUUUCCUCGCGCCUUCUUCUCCUCCUAACUCGGUGAUUCGAAUCACUAGAGUUGCCUCCAGUGUCAUUAAAGGUGACUAGUUCCCAGUCCGGUCCGAUUCCUAGUUAGAAUCGGGAAUCGGGAAUCGGAUUGGGAGGACCGAUUCCCAAUGUUUGGGAUUGGGGACCACAUUGAACGGUCCUAGGAUUGGGAAUCGGACAGGUUAGUUCGAUCCAGUCCGAUCCCAUUGAAUCGAUCAUUUAGCAACAAAAAAAAAAUUAAAAAAUGAAAAGAUACUAAUUUUUUUUUACUAUUUUUAGGGUUUAUUGCAAUUUAAAAAAAAAUAAAAUAUAAAUUUUUAAAGAAAAAGAAUCAAUCCAAUUCAUUGGUCCAGUAUCGUUAACCCCCCAGGGGAAUUGGGAAUUGAACCGACAUUCAUUAGUUCCAUUUUUAUGGAACCGAGAACUAGAUUGAUUCCUUUAGGAACCAGACCAAACUAGCCGAUCCGGUCCAAUCUGAGUGGUUCCCGGUUUGGGUAGUCCAAUAUGCUCACCUCUAAGUGUCAUUGGAUUCAUCGCUAGAGUUUUUAUGGGAACUUGGAUUGUCACGGUGUGGUCAAUUAAUAGGUCUUUCUCAUUGCACCUAUCUUGUUGGAAUCACCAAGAGGUUGAAGACUCGCUCCAUUUGUCUCUAAAGAUCCUCUAAUGCUUGGUCACACCUUUCAUUGUGUUUUUGCUUCAAAGUCAAACCUCUUGGAAAUUGAUUCACCAUUUUUAUUUUUGAAUGGAAGUAUGAGAAGGAUAUCAGAAAAACUUACUCAAAACAAGGUCAACCUUGAGUUUUGAUACAAAUUGAUACAUAUGCGUGAUGGGAAAUGUGUUUUGAGUGAUAAUGGAAUAUGUGAUAAACAAUGGCUACCAUUAAUGCAUAAAGGACACGCUGUUAGUCGAGAAUAAAGAUUGAGAUAAAUGAAGCUCACUACCAAGGAAGGAACACCACCAGCCAAAGAUAAAGAAUUUCAGGAUAAGAAAAGUUAACCACCAAGACCUAAAGGAAACCCAUUAGGCAAGGACAAAGGACUUCUUGGUACACCACCAAAGAAUUUGGAUAACGAAUUGGUAUAGAAAUUUGCUUACUUGAGGAAAAUUGCAAGUAUUCAUUACAUUCAAAUAUUGUUUGUCAUACAAAUGAGACUACACCUCCAUUUAUAGAAAGAUUCUGCUAAACAAGAGAAAGUGACCCUUGGAAUCCUAGAAAUCGAAAUGACUAUUGGAGUGUUCACAUAAUUAAAACUGACAUCAUAACAAAGACUUAUGACAAUUAGGACUAAAUGCAUUUAACAAGAACUAAAUGAAUUUAACUAUGACCAAAUGCAUUAGUGACUAUUAUUACUCUUUAAUUUCUUUCACCCGCCUUGGAAGCCGAAUACCAUCUUAGAAGAUCAGCAAUCAACAAUGGAAAUUUACCAGAAUAGCCGCAAGUUGCUAGGUAGUCAAUAAGACCUUAAAAUCAACAAAACAUGAGUUGAGCUUGAUAAUUGUUCCGUUGAGCUUGAUGCUCUUGUGUCAUCCUGCGUUCUUGGCAUGGAGAAAGAGGACUACAUCUAGAAUAGCCCACAUGACCCUCAUGACUAGGAGCUGUGGCACUUUCCUAAGUUGACUCAAGAGGCCGCAUGACAUACUCUUAAGGGAUGUGCGAGCUAUUUACCAAAUAUAGUCCCAUUUCUCCAUGCUUAGAACUUCACAGAAACUCGAGACCUCCAUCCAUCUGCGGUAAUCAACCUAUUGACUUGAGGGCCAACAUGCACAUCGAAGGUGCUAUGUCAAGAACUCACUGAAAGAAAGAAAACAAAGUUGAUCAGGAAACUAAGCCAAGUCUAGAAUGAAGCUAAAAACAGAUCGAAUUGAGACGAGAGUGAUGGUGAUCUUACAAUGAUGACCAGCGUGGGUGAGAUCUAUAAAGGUCUUGGGACUGCUGAAGGGAUGACUUGGCCCAUCGUCUGUUGUAUUUCUCGCCAGGAACCAUGCUUAACAGACCUCCGUCCAUCCGCAGUAAUUAACCUAUUGACUUGAAGGCCAGCAUGCACAUCCAAGGUGCUAUGUCAAGAACCUACUUGGAGAAAGACAGCGACCUAGAACCAAGUUUUCUAUAGAGUUAUUCUUGUGCAUUCUGGCAGGUGUUGCCAAGCAUAAAGGUAGACGGCUUUCUUCGGAAAAUGUUUUGCAUCAGCUUUGUGAAUCCCAGCCAUGACUUCUUAAGAUAACUAAAGAAUGGCUUACUUGAUACGGGUAUUAACUUCACCAACCAACCAAUUGGCCAAGAUGCUGCCGCCAGCAGAAUGCAAGCCGCCCAUUGCCACCAAUUUAGUCUCUCGGUAUCGGCAAACUUCUUCAGAAACUCCACCAUAAUCACUUGAAGCACAAUCGUAAUCCCAAUAAUUGCAAUAAAUAAGUGAUUCUUAUGAAUGCCUUUGAAUACAUUCUGCUUCUCUAAGCUCCUUGAGUUGAAUUCAUUAAAAACUUGGCAAAGCACGAAAAUAUUGAAAAUUAAAGUAUCAUUCACCCCUGCACUGACAUUGAAUAUGGACUCGCCCCUGAAUUGCAGGGUCAGGAGGACUGCUAUCUGGUAAAGUGCUUGGGCUAGGAGAUUCCUCCACAUCACAUUGGUUAUGAGUGGUUCUGUACGACCUACAGGUGAUUUCUCCAUCAAUUCAUCGCUUGGUCGCUCUGUAGCGAGGGCAAGAGCACCUAGUGUGUCCAUGAUGAGAUUUACCCAUAGUAAUUGCACUGCAGUUAAAGGAACCUCACCUGCUGAAACUGCUGCAAUGAAAUUAAUUACCAAAGCAGCAACAUUUACCGUUAGUUGAAACUGUAUGAAUUUCUGGAUAUUGUUGUAAACACAUCGCCCCCAUCUUAAUACCGUCACAAGGGAGGUGAAAUUGUCAUCCAAUAUGACAAUGUCGGAACUCUCUUUGGCAACCUCAGUUCCUUGAAUGCCCAUGGAAAGUCCAAUAUCUGCUUCUUUUAGUGCUGGUGCAUCAUUUGUACCAUCUCCGGUGACCGCGACCACAUGGCCCUUAUUUUUCAGGCACUGCACCAUCAGCAACUUGUCGAAAGGGGAAGACCUAGCCAUAACACGGAUUUGAUUGACUUUUUGCAUUCUCUCAUCGUCGGUGUAGUUUCGAAACUCUGAACCCUCCACCACCUCUAUGC
RNAcentral lists this long non-coding RNA (5073 nucleotides) under Eucalyptus grandis. Its description in RNAcentral is "long non-coding RNA (EGRA_LNC000675)". Lineage: Eukaryota; Viridiplantae; Streptophyta; Magnoliopsida; Myrtales; Myrtaceae. The record is from RNAcentral.